Rhipicephalus sanguineus (brown dog tick) is the source of this 103-nucleotide long non-coding RNA. RefSeq lists it as uncharacterized. NCBI's taxonomy places the organism in Eukaryota, Metazoa, Arthropoda, Arachnida, Ixodida, Ixodidae. The transcript has 3 exons. The record is from RefSeq and is a predicted model, not a curated record.
GCAAGCAGAAGCAACGUACGUUUUCCCUUUUCUGCAAAGCUCGAAUCCGCUUGUUCAAAGAGAAGGUGUAUUUACUUUAGUUAACAUAUAUGAAGAAGCAAGC